This is a long non-coding RNA of Drosophila biarmipes, 593 nucleotides long. RefSeq lists it as uncharacterized. The record is from RefSeq and is a predicted model, not a curated record. The transcript is spliced from 2 exons. Lineage: Eukaryota; Metazoa; Arthropoda; Insecta; Diptera; Drosophilidae.
UCUAGCAAGUCUUGACUGAAGCGGAUAUUAGUGGCAAUACGGAAACUUAAAACAUUAAAACCUUUUCCCUCACCAUUUUCCCUGCGAACGCGCUGAGCUGCAUUUUGGGUAACAUUUUCGAUACCUGUCGGCAUGUGUCGAGUACCAAGAGGUAUUCCCCGUCUGCCCACCUAUCUGCAUCUCCGACCUCGGCUCCCAGCUCUCGAAUUCUCCUCCUUGGCGCCCGCAUAACUUGCGCUCUAAACAAAACAAAAAUGCGUUGGCAAAAGCGUAGGACCAGAGACAGAAGAACCAGAGACAGCGGAUGGAACCCGAAGGCUGGGGCUGCGGAGGAGGCGUGCCGGGGCAGAGGCAGCUGGCUACGAUGACUACGAUGGCGAUGGUGAUGGCGACACUGGCAACAGCAAAGGCAACGUUAGUGGGACACCCUAAGACAAAGGAGUAGAUCAACUUUUCUGACAAGAACAUAUCAAAUUGGAACGAACAGCUGUUGGGGAUAUCUAAUGAAACGAAAUUUGUAAGAAACAUUGUGUAUGUAUUCGAAAAUAAUUAUAUACUAGGAGGAAAGCAAAAAUAACAUAAAGUCGUUUCAA